AAUACAUGCAAGUCGAACGCGCGGAUCAGGAGCUUGCUCUGUGACGCGAGUGGCGGACGGGUGAGUAACACGUAGGCAACCUGCCCAUCAGACUGGGAUAACCACGGGAAACCGUGGCUAAUACCGGAUAACCCUUUUCCACACAGGUGGGAAAGUUGAAAGGCGGUCUUUUGGCUGUCACUGAUGGAUGGGCCUGCGGCGCAUUAGCUGGUUGGUGGGGUAACGGCCCACCAAGGCGACGAUGCGUAGCCGACCUGAGAGGGUGAUCGGCCACACUGGGACUGAGACACGGCCCAGACUCCUACGGGAGGCAGCAGUAGGGAAUCUUCCGCAAUGGACGAAAGUCUGACGGAGCAACGCCGCGUGAGUGAAGAAGGGUUUCGGCUCGUAAAACUCUGUUGUCAGGGAAGAACGCCGACGGGAGUAACUGCCCGUCGGGUGACGGUACCUGACCAGAAAGCCACGGCUAACUACGUGCCAGCAGCCGCGGUAAUACGUAGGUGGCAAGCGUUAUCCGGAAUUAUUGGGCGUAAAGCGCGCGUAGGCGGUUCGUUAAGUCUGAUGUGAAAGCCCCCGGCUCAACCGGGGAGGGUCAUUGGAAACUGGCGGACUUGAGUGCAGAAGAGGAGAGUGGAAUUCCAUGUGUAGCGGUGAAAUGCGCAGAGAUAUGGAGGAACACCAGUGGCGAAGGCGGCUCUCUGGUCUGCAACUGACGCUGAGGUGCGAAAGCGUGGGGAUCAAACAGGAUUAGAUACCCUGGUAGUCCACGCCGUAAACGAUGAGUGCUAAGUGUUAGGGGGUUUCCGCCCCUUAGUGCUGCAGCUAACGCAUUAAGCACUC
Molecule: ribosomal RNA, 840 nt
Filed under: Salinicoccus roseus
Lineage: Bacteria; Bacillati; Bacillota; Bacilli; Caryophanales; Staphylococcaceae
Description: bacterial SSU rRNA
Rfam family: Bacterial small subunit ribosomal RNA
Source: RNAcentral